Helianthus annuus (common sunflower) is the source of this 1020-nucleotide long non-coding RNA. RefSeq lists it as uncharacterized. The record is from RefSeq and is a predicted model, not a curated record. Lineage: Eukaryota; Viridiplantae; Streptophyta; Magnoliopsida; Asterales; Asteraceae. The transcript is spliced from 4 exons.
CAGAGCAUGUUAGGGUUUUCAUACCAUUUUACUUUCCACCUCCUGAUACCUAUCCUUCAUCUCACAUAUGUGAUACAGAGAGAUAGAUGUUAGAGCAGGGAGUACUCCACCGCCUCAGAGCGAGAGAAUGCUGCAAACGACGGCCGGAGGAAAGAGAGAGAUCGGAUAAGAGAAGGAAGGAAGACAAACAACGGCCGGAGGAAAGAGAUCGGAGGAGAGACGACAGCCGGAGGUAUGCUAGAUCGGAUGUUGCGCCGGCUCUUACACUGAUGACGGUCAAGCGGUUAGGGUUUCAAUCAACUUCCGUAGGUAACGUCCGGUGAGUUUCCGGCGAGGAUUCGGUGAACGGGCAGGCGAAGAUUCCGGUGAACAGGUGGAUAAUAAUGGGGUAGGUGAGCUGGGAGAUAGUGAGGUAGGUGGCGGCGACGGCGGCGGUGAAGCGGCUGUAAACUGGCAAAAUGCUCGAUACAAAGCCGAGGUACUGUCACACUCGCUUGACGAGCAGUUGUUGGCUUACGUGUCUUGUUUGCGAAUUGCGACUCCCGUGGAUCAGCUGCCCAGGAUCGAUGCACAGCUGGCGCAGUCACAGCAUGUUGUCGCGAAGUAUUCGGGGGUCUCGGUGGGCAGGGUGGUAAUCUUGGUGAUGAUAAGGAGCUUGAUCAAUUCAUGACUCAUUAUGUUCUGUUGCUUUGUUCUUUUAAAGAGCAACUGCAACAACAUGUUCGUGUUCACGCUAUGGAAACUGUUAUCGCAUUUUGGCAGAUCAAGCAGUCGUUAAAGAGCUUGACAGGUUUUGUGGCUUUGUUGGUUUGCAUUUCGGUUUGAUAUUUGUUCAUGUUGUUUGAUGAUGAUGAUGGUUGAAGGAACGGGUGCGACAAUGUCGGAUGAUGAUGAUCAAGUGGACAGGCGACGGUGAUGCGAAUUUGUUUGAUGGGAUGGGUUGUUUUGUUUUGUUUUAUACUUUUAUGUAUGGAGUUCAUGUUUUGCACAAAUGGAACAUAAAUGUUAUCGAGUUUUGAA